UACGGAGGGUGCAAGCGUUAAUCGGAAUUACUGGGCGUAAAGGGUGCGUAGGUGGUUCGCUAAGUCCGUUGUGAAAGCCCCGAGCUCAACUUGGGAAUUGCAGUGGAUACUGGCGAGCUAGAGUGCGGUAGGGGAAGGUGGAAUUCCCGGUGUAGCGGUGAAAUGCGUAGAGAUCGGGAGGAACACCAGUGGCGAAGGCGGCCUUCUGGACCAGCACUGACACUCAAGCACGACAGCGUGGGGAGCAAACAGG
RNAcentral lists this ribosomal RNA (253 nucleotides) under uncultured bacterium. RNAcentral describes it as "partial 16S ribosomal RNA". It matches the Rfam family "Bacterial small subunit ribosomal RNA", at positions 524 to 776 of the family's 1533-position model. The record is from RNAcentral.